Molecule: ribosomal RNA, 497 nt
Filed under: uncultured bacterium
Lineage: Bacteria
Description: bacterial SSU rRNA
Rfam family: Bacterial small subunit ribosomal RNA
Source: RNAcentral
AAUGCAUCGGAACGCGUCCUGUAAUGGGGGAUAACCUGGCGAAAGUCAGGCUAAUACCGCAUACGUCCUGAGGGAGAAAGCGGGGGAUUGGCAACGACCUCGUGUUAUAGGAGCGGCCGAUGUCGGAUUAGCUAGUUGGUGGGGUAAAGGCCUACCAAGGCGACGAUCCGUAGCGGGUCUGAGAGGACGGCCCGCCACACCGGGACUGAGACACGGCCCAGACUCCUACGGGAGGCAGCAGUGGGGAAUUUUGGACAAUGGGGGCAACCCUGAUCCAGCCAUGCCGCGUGAGUGAAGAAGGCCUUCGGGUUGUAAAGCUCUUUCGGCCGGGAAGAAAUCGCUUCGGCUAAUACCUGGAGUGGAUGACGGUACCGGAAGAAGAAGCACCGGCUAACUACGUGCCAGCAGCCGCGGUAAUACGUAGGGUGCGAGCGUUAAUCGGAAUUACUGGGCGUAAAGCGUGCGCAGGCGGUUUUCGUAAAGACAGAUGUGAAAUC